CCUACGGGAGGCAGCAGUGGGGAAUAUUGCACAAUGGGGGAAACCCUGAUGCAGCAACGCCGCGUGAAGGAAGACGGUUUUCGGAUUGUAAACCUCUGUUCUUAGUGAAGAAUAAUGACGGUAGCUAAGGAGCAAGCCACGGCUAACUACGUGCCAGCAGCCGCGGUAAUACGUAGGUGGCAAGCGUUGUUCGGAAUAACUGGGCGUAAAGGGAGCGCAGGCGGGAAGACAAGUCAGCUGUGAAAUCUACGGGCUUAACUUGUAGAAUGCAGAUGAAACUGGUUUGCUUGAGUGAAGUAGAGGUAGGCGGAAUUCCGAGUGUAGCGGUGAAAUGCGUAGAUAUUCGGAGGAACACCAGUGGCGAAGGCGGCCUACUGGACUUUAACUGACGCUGAGGCACGAAAGUGUGGGGAGCAAACAGGAUUAGAUACCCCUGUAGUC
RNAcentral lists this ribosomal RNA (441 nucleotides) under uncultured bacterium. RNAcentral describes it as "partial 16S ribosomal RNA". It matches the Rfam family "Bacterial small subunit ribosomal RNA", at positions 338 to 795 of the family's 1533-position model. The record is from RNAcentral.